This is a long non-coding RNA of Humulus lupulus (European hop), 743 nucleotides long. RefSeq lists it as uncharacterized. The record is from RefSeq and is a predicted model, not a curated record. The transcript is spliced from 4 exons. Lineage: Eukaryota; Viridiplantae; Streptophyta; Magnoliopsida; Rosales; Cannabaceae.
UUUUAUUGGUAAUUUUCUGAUUUUCCUAACACAAAUGACAUCUCAAUUUUCAGUCCUACCAACCGAUCCAUUAUCGUCUUCCCCAAAUGAGAUUUACUCAAACCCUCAAAACCCCAUCGUUCUCUCUCUCUCUCUCUCUCUAUGCGAUUUGGUCCGAUGAAGCUCCGCCUCUCUCGCUCUUUGUCUCUCUCGUUCAUUUCCACAGCUCCAAAGGUCCUCAAUAUCCCCAUCGUCGACUUCUACAGUUCCAAAGCUCCCAAUGUUUGAAGUGGAAGAAGAAAUUGAAAUGCUUCUGGAAAACUAUCUCCAAAGCUCUCGGAUGCUUGAGGUUAUCAGAGUCCUUCAAGUUGGGACAUUUUGUUUGGCAGUCGGUGCUCUAGUUGCAGAAAGUUACAGCAAAGUGACUGAGAGGGCUUUACCAGAAGUUCGUGGGAAUACAUAGCAGAAAAUGUAUUACAAGACUUGCCUCUUCUUUUGAAGAAUGGAGGACUAAAAUGGAGUCUGAAGUUGGAAGUUAUACAUCAAAUGUAGUCUUAGAUUCAUGUUAUUUUUCAUCAGCUAGUGUUAGUUUUAUUUCCAUUUUUGAGUACUUACAUGAUUAAAUCAAACUAAACUAGAUUACAUGACAGAGUAUGAGAACUGUUUCCUUAGGAUGACUUCAUUCAACCAUGAAUCUGUUACCAAAAAGACUUGUUUUCGGACACACUAAGACUUACAUUGAUAUAAACAACAAUUAUUCAAUA